RNAcentral lists this ribosomal RNA (390 nucleotides) under Foraminifera environmental sample. RNAcentral's name for it is "SSU rRNA". It matches the Rfam family "Eukaryotic small subunit ribosomal RNA", at positions 1129 to 1399 of the family's 1831-position model. Lineage: Eukaryota; Foraminifera. The record is from RNAcentral.
ACGCAAGUGUGAAACUUGUUGGAAUUGACGGAAGGGCACCACAAGAACGCGUGGAGCAUGUGGCUUAAUUUGACCCAACGCGGGAAAUCUUACCGGGUCCGGACACACUGAGGAUUGACAGGCACUAUUAAAAAUGGAGUCUCGCAUUUAUUUGCGUGUUCUUCUUUUUAUGUCAAAUAUGCUAGUCCUUUCAUGAUUAUGUGAUAGGUGGUGCAUGGCCGUUCUUAGUUCGUGGAGUGAGCUGUCUGCUUAAUUGCGUUUCACUAAGAGUUCUAAACUUAAUGUGUAUUGCAGCGGCUUCAUUGACCCCUGUCAAUUUAUUGGCGGUGUUGUUGUCUUUGUUUCUUGUCUGCUUACACUACUGAGCUCUGAAAGCAACGAACGUGAUUG